GAUGAACGCUGGCGGCGUGCCUAACACAUGCAAGUCGAACGGAGUCCCGCCUUUAUGACCUUUGGGUCAAAGAGGGGAAGACUGAGUGGCGGACGGGUGAGUAACACGUGGGCAACCUGGCUCAUAUAGGGGGACAACAGAGAGAAAUGUCUGCUAUUACCGCCUACGCACACACUGCCUCAAGGCAGGUGGUGAAAAGAGGAGCGCUUUGAGCUGGACCGCCGUCUGAUUUGCAAGUGGUAAGGGUAAGCGCCUACCACAGCGACGAUCAGUAGCCGAUGUGAGAGAAUGAGCGGCCACAUCGGCACUGAGACGCGGCCCAAACUCCUACGGGAGGCAGGAGUGGGGGAUAUUGCACCAUGGGGGGAACCCUGAUGCUGCGACGCCGCGUGAGUGAAGAAGUAUGGCGGUAUGAAAAGCGCUAUCAACAGGGAAGAUAAUGACAGUACCUGAAUAAGAAGCCCCGGCUAACUACGUG
Molecule: ribosomal RNA, 478 nt
Filed under: uncultured bacterium
Lineage: Bacteria
Description: partial 16S ribosomal RNA
Rfam family: Bacterial small subunit ribosomal RNA
Source: RNAcentral